This 515-nucleotide ribosomal RNA is filed under the name uncultured bacterium. RNAcentral's name for it is "bacterial SSU rRNA". It matches the Rfam family "Bacterial small subunit ribosomal RNA", at positions 9 to 526 of the family's 1533-position model. The record is from RNAcentral.
GAGUUUGAUCCUGGCUCAGGAUGAACGCUGGCGGUGUGCCUAACACAUGCAAGUCGAACGAAGCACCUUACCGGAUUCUUCGGAUGAAAGUUUGGUGACUGAGUGGCGGACGGGUGAGUAACGCGUGGGUAACCUGCCCUGUACAGGGGGAUAACAGCUGGAAACGGCUGCUAAUACCGCAUAAGCGCACGAGGAGACAUCUCCUUGUGUGAAAAACUCCGGUGGUACAGGAUGGGCCCGCGUCUGAUUAGCUGGUUGGCAGGGUAACGGCCUACCAAGGCAACGAUCAGUAGCCGGUCUGAGAGGAUGAACGGCCACAUUGGAACUGAGACACGGUCCAAACUCCUACGGGAGGCAGCAGUGGGGAAUAUUGCACAAUGGGGGAAACCCUGAUGCAGCGACGCCGCGUGAGCGAUGAAGUAUUUCGGUAUGUAAAGCUCUAUCAGCAGGGAAGAAAAUGACGGUACCUGACUAAGAAGCACCGGCUAAAUACGUGCCAGCAGCCGCGGUAAUAC